This 66-nucleotide transfer RNA is filed under the name Pseudeuphausia sinica. RNAcentral's name for it is "tRNA-Thr". It matches the Rfam family "tRNA". Rfam says of the family: Transfer RNA (tRNA) molecules are approximately 80 nucleotides in length. Their secondary structure includes four short double-helical elements and three loops (D, anti-codon, and T loops). Lineage: Eukaryota; Metazoa; Arthropoda; Malacostraca; Euphausiacea; Euphausiidae. The record is from RNAcentral.
GUUUUAAUAGUUUAAAUAAAAACAUCAGUUUUGUAAACCGAAAAUAAGAGCUAUUCUUUUAAAACA